RNAcentral lists this ribosomal RNA (411 nucleotides) under Klebsiella pneumoniae. RNAcentral describes it as "bacterial LSU rRNA". It matches the Rfam family "Bacterial large subunit ribosomal RNA", at positions 251 to 706 of the family's 2925-position model. Lineage: Bacteria; Pseudomonadati; Pseudomonadota; Gammaproteobacteria; Enterobacterales; Enterobacteriaceae. The record is from RNAcentral.
GAGCGAACGGGGAGCAGCCCAGAGUCUGAAUCAGCUUGUGUGUUAGUGGAACGGUCUGGAAAGUCCGACGGUACAGGGUGAUAGUCCCGUACACCAAAAUGCACAGGCUGUGAACUCGAAGAGUAGGGCGGGACACGUGGUAUCCUGUCUGAAUAUGGGGGACCAUCCUCCAAGGCUAAAUACUCCUGACUGACCGAUAGUGAACCAGUACCGUGAGGGAAAGGCGAAAAGAACCCCGGCGAGGGGAGUGAAAAAGAACCUGAAACCGUGUACGUACAAGCAGUGGGAGCACCUUCGGGUGUGACUGCGUACCUUUUGUAUAAUGGGUCAGCGACUUAUAUUCUGUAGCAAGGUUAACCGUAUAGGGGAGCCGCAGGGAAACCGAGUCUUAACUGGGCGUUAAGUUGCAGG